Long non-coding RNA from Homarus americanus (American lobster), 452 nucleotides. RefSeq lists it as uncharacterized. The transcript is spliced from 3 exons. The record is from RefSeq and is a predicted model, not a curated record. Lineage: Eukaryota; Metazoa; Arthropoda; Malacostraca; Decapoda; Nephropidae.
CUCUUCACUAUUUUUUCAGCUGCUGGAGAAAGGCGAAAUUAAAAUGGACUGCAACCAGACAAGGACGGUAGUUGAACACGAUCUGAGGGCCAUAUCUAAUUACUUUGGCCAGGCUUGUAUCCUUGAGAUUGGGUCCCUGAUAACGCGACGAAUAUCCAGCUCAAGGAAAAGUACCGCAGCCUAUGUACUAUAUGUCGUAACCCUGGCCGCUGUGGUAGGGAUGAUGACCACGCUGGGUACAAAGGCGCGCUGAGGUGUCUGGUCGACUCAUCCGGAGAUGUAGCUUGGACAAAACUCUCUGCUGUUAGAGAAUUUUCAAGGAGAGAACUGAUGUUAUAGCAGAUAAUUAUGGCUUGUUGUGUCCUGAUGGCCGGGUGGAAAACUUAGACUCCACUAAACCUUGUCAUUGGGCCGCUAGACCAUGGAAUUCUUGGGUUGCUCGAACUACGCAC